CUCUUGACAAACAUAAGAGGUCCAGCCUGCCCAGUGACAAAGUUCAACGGCCGCGGUACCCUAACCGUGCGAAGGUAGCAUAAUCACUUGUUCUUUAAAUGAGGACUCGUAUCAACGGCACUACGAGGGCUAUACUGUCUCCUUUUUCCAAUCAGUGAAACUGAUCUCCCCGUGAAGAAGCGGGGAUCAAAAUAU
This 195-nucleotide ribosomal RNA is filed under the name Rana draytonii (California red-legged frog). RNAcentral describes it as "partial 16S ribosomal RNA". It matches the Rfam family "Bacterial large subunit ribosomal RNA", at positions 1820 to 2076 of the family's 2925-position model. Lineage: Eukaryota; Metazoa; Chordata; Amphibia; Anura; Ranidae. The record is from RNAcentral.